GACGAACGCUGGCUGCGUGCUUAACACAUGCAAUUCGAACGUCAAGGCCCUUCUUUUGUGGGGUGCUCGAGUGGCGAUCGGGUGAGUAACACGUGAGUAACCUGCCCUUGACUUUGGGAUAACUUCCUGAAACUGGGGCUAAUACCGGAUAGGAUCUCCUGCUUCAUUGUGGGUGUUGGAUAGUUUCUUCGGUUGGGGAUUGACUCGCGGCUUAUCAGCUUGCUGGUGGGUUAGUGGCUUACCAAGGCUUUGACGGGUAGACGGCCUGAGAGGGUGACCGGAGACAGUGAGAAUGAGAGAGGGCCCAGAGUGCUACGGGGGGCAGCAGAGGGGAAGAUGGCACAGUGGGCGGAAGCCGGAUGCGACGACGCAGCGGGCGGGAUGACGGCCUUCGGGUUGAAAAACGCUUUCGCCUGUGACGAAGCGGGAGUGACGGUAAUGGGUAAAGAAGCACCGGAUAACUACGUG
RNAcentral lists this ribosomal RNA (468 nucleotides) under uncultured bacterium. Its description in RNAcentral is "partial 16S ribosomal RNA". It matches the Rfam family "Bacterial small subunit ribosomal RNA", at positions 28 to 507 of the family's 1533-position model. The record is from RNAcentral.